RNAcentral lists this ribosomal RNA (438 nucleotides) under uncultured bacterium. RNAcentral describes it as "partial 16S ribosomal RNA". It matches the Rfam family "Bacterial small subunit ribosomal RNA", at positions 339 to 795 of the family's 1533-position model. The record is from RNAcentral.
CUACGGGUCGCAGCAGUGGGGAAUCUUGGACAAUGGGCGCAAGCCUGAUCCAGCCAUGCCGCGUGAGUGAUGAAGGCCUUAGGGUCGUAAAGCUCUUUCGCCAGGGAUGAUAAUGACAGUACCUGGUAAAGAAACCCCGGCUAACUCCGUGCCAGCAGCCGCGGUAAUACGGAGGGGGUUAGCGUUGUUCGGAAUUACUGGGCGUAAAGCGCGCGUAGGCGGACCAGAAAGUUGGGGGUGAAAUCCCGGGGCUCAACCCCGGAACGGCCUUCAAAACUCCUGGUCUUGAGUUCGAGAGAGGUGGGUGGAAUUCCGAGUGUAGGGGUGAAAUUCGUAGAUAUUCGGGGGAACACCAGUGGCGAAGGCGACUCACUGGCUCGAUACUGACGCUGAGGUGCGAAAGUGUGGGGAGCAAACAGGAUUAGAUACCCCUUAGUC